ACGGCUGAGUAACACAUGGGUACCUUCCUCGAACUCAGGGAUAUCCCGCCGAAAGGCGGAGUAAUACCGGAUAGUCCCGCAAGGGUAAAGAUUUAUCGGUUCGAGAGGGGCCUGUGCCCUAUCAGGUAGUUGGUGAGGUAACGGCUCACCAAGCCAAUGACGGGUAGCUGGUCUGAGAGGACGACCAGCCAGAAUGGGACUGAGACACGGCCCAUACUCCUACGGGAGGCAGCAGUUAGGAAUCUUCCGCAAUGGGCGAAAGCCUGACGGAGCGACACCGCGUGAAGGAUGAAGCCCUUACGGGCGUAAACUUCUGUUAUGAGGGAAGAAAUUUUUGACGGUACCUCAUGAGAAAGCACCGGCUAAUUCUGUGCCAGCAGCCGCGGUAAGACAGAAGGUGCAAGCGUUACUCGGAAUUACUGGGCGUAAAGCGUCUGUAGGUUUUUGAUCACGUCUGGUGUGAAAUCGCGGGGCUCAACCCCGCGCCCACAUUGGAAACGAGUCGGAUAGAGUCAUUCAGGGGCAUCUGGAAUGUCGUGUGUA
RNAcentral lists this ribosomal RNA (543 nucleotides) under uncultured bacterium. Its description in RNAcentral is "bacterial SSU rRNA". It matches the Rfam family "Bacterial small subunit ribosomal RNA", at positions 102 to 677 of the family's 1533-position model. The record is from RNAcentral.